GCCCGGGACUGAGUUGUUUCGAGAAAAGCGGGGACUGCUGCUCUGAGCGUUUUCGGACGAUCGUUGUGGCGAGAACCGCGUUAAUCGAAACGGCUUGAACCGGGCAAAAGUCGUAACAAGGUUUCCGUAGGUGAACCUGCGGAAGGAUCAUUA
This 153-nucleotide ribosomal RNA is filed under the name Steinernema beitlechemi. Its description in RNAcentral is "partial 18S ribosomal RNA". It matches the Rfam family "Eukaryotic small subunit ribosomal RNA", at positions 1681 to 1831 of the family's 1831-position model. Lineage: Eukaryota; Metazoa; Nematoda; Chromadorea; Rhabditida; Steinernematidae. The record is from RNAcentral.